AUGGCUGAAGGCAACGGGGAGCUUUGUGGAGACCUCAAGCCAAAAGUUGAACGAACAGAAGACUUUCAGAAACUGAUUGAUUGCGGUUUAGAUGAAAAAGUAGCCGCUAAGUUGGAUGACAUCUACAAAACUGGGAAACUUACCCAUGCCGAUUUGGAUGAAAGGGCUCUUGAUGCUCUGAAAGAGUUCCCCAUCGAAGGUGCUGUGAAUGUACUGACACAGUUCCUCGAUGCCAAUCUGGAGCAUGUAUCUAAUAAGUCUGCCUAUCUCUGUGGAGUCAUGAAAACAUACCGCCAGAAGAACAGAGCGGGCCAAGCCGCAGCUCCCCCUGCAACACAAACAAAUACAGUUAAAGCUCCAGAUGAAGAAAAAAUUAAAGCAAUACUGGACAGGACUGGCUACUCACUUGAUGUGACCACAGGCCAGAGAAAGUAUGGAGGACCACCACCAGACUGGAAGGGGGCGGCACCUGGCAAUGGCUGUGAGGUAUUUUGUGGCAAGAUACCGAAGGACAUGUAUGAAGAUGAACUCAUCCCUCUCUUUGAAAAAUGUGGUACGAUUUGGGAUCUGCGACUGAUGAUGGAUCCUAUGUCUGGUCAAAAUAGAGGUUAUGCUUUUGUUACCUUUACUACCAAGGAUGCUGCGCAGCAGGCUGUGCGAGAGCUUGAUAAUUAUGAAAUCAAACCCGGCAAGAGUCUGAAAGUAAACAUUAGUGUUCCAAAUCUGCGACUUUUUGUGGGCAACAUUCCAAAAUCAAAAGGCAAAGACGAGAUACUGGAGGAGUUCAAUAAAUCAACAGCUGGUCUCACUCAAGUCAUCAUAUACAGUUCACCAGAUGAUAAGAAGAAAAAUAGGGGCUUCUGCUUCUUGGAGUAUGAGUCUCACAAAGCCGCUUCCCUUGCCAAGCGGCGACUUGGAACAGGUCGCAUUAAAGUUUGGGGCUGUGACAUAAUCGUGGAUUGGGCUGAUCCCCAAGAAGAGCCAGAUGAAAGCACUAUGUCUAAAGUGAAAGUACUGUAUGUUAGAAACCUUACUCAAGAUUGUUCUGAGGAAAAAAUGAAAGAAUCUUUUGAACAAUUUGGUAAAGUUGAGAGAGUAAAGAAAAUUAAAGACUAUGCAUUUGUUCAUUUUGAAGAACGUGACAGUGCUGUCAAGGCUAUGGAAGAAUUGAAUGGAAAGGAUAUAGUCGGUGGUGGUUCAGCUAUUGAAGUGUCACUGGCCAAGCCUCCAUCUGAUAAGAAAAAGAAGGAAGAAAUGUUGCGAAACAGGGAAAGAAGGAUGAUGCAAAUGAUGCAGAUCAGAGGAGGCAUGAUGCCAACCCCAAUCCCCAUGCGAGGGCCUGGUGGCUCUGGACCUAGGAAUAGUGGUGCUGGUAUGCGAGGACCCAUGGGCAGAGGCGACUAUGGGUGGCCGUGGCCGUGGGCAGGGAACAGCAGCGGGUCCGGGCCGUGGUCGGGGCGCUGGUCCGGGCACGGGUCCGGGUCGUGGGGGUCCGGGGGCGCAGGGCCCCAGGGGGGGGCGCCAACCCGCAGCCUCCGGGGGUCGUGGGGGUCCGCGGUCGGGGCCCACCGGACGUGGGCAGGCCCGAGGCAAGGGAAGUUUGUCAGGUGAGGAUGGGCAAGGCAGGCAGAUCAAGUGUUCUGAGUUUCUGGAAACAUAUGACAAAAUAUUUCGUUGAUAGCAAGCGCAAGUUUGAUGGAAGUCACCAGAACCAGGGGGAAACAAAGCGUCGUUACCAGAACU
This 1743-nucleotide unclassified non-coding RNA is filed under the name Thrips palmi. RNAcentral describes it as "heterogeneous nuclear ribonucleoprotein Q, transcript variant X4". The record is from RNAcentral. Lineage: Eukaryota; Metazoa; Arthropoda; Insecta; Thysanoptera; Thripidae.